This is a non-coding RNA of Peromyscus maniculatus bairdii (prairie deer mouse), 892 nucleotides long. Lineage: Eukaryota; Metazoa; Chordata; Mammalia; Rodentia; Cricetidae. The record is from RefSeq and is a predicted model, not a curated record.
CCCAUGUGAGUCCAUUGGACUGUUGUUGUGUAAACCCAGAAGUCCAUGAUCUUAUAAGCUGCCAAAGGGAUAAAUGGGUGGAGGCUCUGGAAACUUCUGGGAUGUCCUCAUGACUCAUCUUGACUCUGACACCUAUCUUCUGACUCUUCCAGCUUUGCCUUCCAGACUACAAAGUGGGUGGAGCACAGCUCACUCACCUGUCCACAUGGCACAUGGAUGCAGUAUCUCUCACCAGUGAUGUUGGUGUUACUUGAAGAUGUCAAAACCAUUAGUGAGAACCUCACCCCACAGAGCAGGAAGUGAGCCAAUCAGAGCUCACAGCUGGCAUGAGACACACAGAUUGGCUAACAGCAGAGCAGGAUCACUUUAACCACAGGAGGAGGGAAAUUAAUCUGGUCUGUGCCCUCAUUGUAACGAAUACCCACUCAUUCGCUCAUUCAUUUCACUUAUUUGGUUAAUAUUUCCCAGGCCCUAAGAUGAGAUAUGGUGAUCAAUCAUACGUACCAACUCCUGAGAAUCGCAAACUAGUGCAAACAACUCCCCAGGGAGCUAGGCUGUGGGAGCACACAUUUUGUAUGCAGAACAGACCCUUAAACGGUAGACCAGAAUAACCAGAGGUGCUGAAGAGUUGUAGGACAAGAGCUAACCGUGGAUGCCUCUGCUGUCACCAUGAUAAGCAGAAGGAAGUCACUAAGUCAAUGGGCUUCACAGGGAUGCUACACAGUAUGACAAGCCUACAUGGGGACAGGAGAAGCUGAGAAGAGCCAGGACACUUUCCAAGCCUGUAAGACCUGAGUGGAGAGUGGCAGGAUCAGUGAACUAGUGGUACUUUGAUUUUCACUAGGAAAGAGUUUAUGGAUUCUGGGGAACUGAGGAUCUAUUUGGAGCCAAC